Molecule: ribosomal RNA, 536 nt
Filed under: Nocardia brasiliensis
Lineage: Bacteria; Bacillati; Actinomycetota; Actinomycetes; Mycobacteriales; Nocardiaceae
Description: bacterial SSU rRNA
Rfam family: Bacterial small subunit ribosomal RNA
Source: RNAcentral
AGUCAAGUCGAGCGGUAAGGCCCUUCGGGGUACACGAGCGGCGAACGGGUGAGUAACACGUGGGUGAUCUGCCUCGCACUUCGGGAUAAGCCUGGGAAACUGGGUCUAAUACCGGAUAUGACCUUUCAGUGCAUGCUGUUGGGUGGAAAGAUUUAUCGGUGCGAGAUGGGCCCGCGGCCUAUCAGCUUGUUGGCGGGGUAACGGCCCACCAAGGCGACGACGGGUAGCCGACCUGAGAGGGUGACCGGCCACACUGGGACUGAGACACGGCCCAGACUCCUACGGGAGGCAGCAGUGGGGAAUAUUGCACAAUGGGCGGAAGCCUGAUGCAGCGACGCCGCGUGAGGGAUGACGGCCUUCGGGUUGUAAACCUCUUUCGACAGGGACGAAGCGCAAGUGACGGUACCUGUAGAAGAAGCACCGGCCAACUACGUGCCAGCAGCCGCGGUAAUACGUAGGGUGCGAGCGUUGUCCGGAAUUACUGGGCGUAAAGAGCUUGUAGGCGGUUUGUCGCGUCGUCCGUGAAAACUUGGGGC